UACGAAGGUCCCAAGCGUUGUUCGGAAUCACUGGGCGUAAAGGGUGCGUAGGCGGUUAGGUAAGUCAGAUGUGAAAUCCCGGGGCUCAACCCCGGAACUGCAUCCGAUACUGCUUGACUUGAGGACUGGAGAGGUGACUGGAAUUCUCGGUGUAGCAGUGAAAUGCGUGGAGAUCGAGAGGAACACUCGUGGCGUAAGCGAGUCACUGGACAGUAUCUGACGCUGAGGCACGAAGGCCAGGGUAGCGAAAGGG
RNAcentral lists this ribosomal RNA (253 nucleotides) under uncultured bacterium. RNAcentral's name for it is "partial 16S ribosomal RNA". It matches the Rfam family "Bacterial small subunit ribosomal RNA", at positions 524 to 776 of the family's 1533-position model. The record is from RNAcentral.